UGAAUUCGUGCUUUGGAUAAC
Caenorhabditis elegans is the source of this 21-nucleotide non-coding RNA. The record is from Ensembl. Lineage: Eukaryota; Metazoa; Nematoda; Chromadorea; Rhabditida; Rhabditidae.